UUUAAUUUCUUUUAAUAAUUAUAUAUAUAUAUAUAAUUUUUUUUUACCCGAUAUAGAAUUGGAGUACUCGUGAAUAUAAGGUAUUUAUAUUAACAUUGAUUUUGAUGAUAUUCUUUCUUUGCAAUCAUGAAUAUGAGUAAGUAAUUCUCACGAAACUAGAAUAAAUAUAUCAUUUUUUUUUAAUAUAUACAUAUAAACUGUUGUUACGUAUGCAAUAUGCAUGCAUACUAUGAAUUACUAAUCAUCGAUUUAAAAUUAUUUAUAAGUAUGUUUGGGUUCAAAAUACAAGUUUGGUCAGAAAAUGUGUAAUUUGGAAUGGGCCAUGCACGCCACGUGGGUAUUAGUGUUAAAAUAUGGCAUCCCGGUAAAGUUCAAUAACGCUUUAUGUGAUUGAUAUUUGGAAGUACUUAAACGACGAGGAUGCAACUGUUGGGUUCGGUUCGGGGUUCCGCUCACUUCUCUCUCUCCCUCCCUCAAUUUUCACUUUCUCUGUGCGGCUGAGGCGGGUGAUUGGCAGUCAGAUUCAGCUCUUUCUUUCUCCCUCUCUCUCUAUCUAUCUCAGAGAGUGCUUUAGGCCAUGGGUAAUUAGGAAGAAUUAAAUUAAUUUAAAAGCACUCAACUUUGAUUUGUCUGAGAGUUUUUGGAGUAUUUAUAUGCUCAAAUUUGUUUGCUUGUCAGUCUGAUUCUGUGUUCACCUGAUGUAAUUGAAUCAAUUGAUUGGCAGAAUCCCUUGUUUCUUCUGUGGAUUAAUUGGAUUAGAAAUUUGUGUAUUAUUUACCCUUGACAUGCUUGAGCAAGCCCAAAACCAUAUUUUAUUUAGUUGGAUUUUUCUUGCUUAUUACUAACAUGUUUCGUUUCUGGGGUGCAGUUGAAAUCAUUGAAGCCUCUUGCUUUUGCCCUUUGAUCAUCUUUAUCACCGCUUGAGUGUCAAAAUCAGCGGUUUCCUGGUCUUGAACGAAAAGGUGUUUAUGUCAGUCCUAAUUUUUGUAUAUCUUGUGCAGUUUCGGGUAUAGAAUACCCUCAGAAGCUGACAGCCUGACUUUAAUUAUGCAUCCUGCCAUGAGAGGCCAUAACAGUACUUGUGAGUUUCCAUGGUUUGAAACAAGAGCCAGUUGUGGUAGGUACAUAUAAUGACUUAGUUCUGUGCUGCACAAGCGAGUUUAACCAGCGUGAUUACUACAUCUGCAAUCCAUAUACAAUCCAGUGGGUUCCUCUUCCUCCCCCACCACAAGUGUGCAAGUUUGUACUAGUGGGAUUCAUCUGUGAUCUUCCCUACUAUAACAACAAGGAAGAUUAUCAGCCAGGAGAUAUGAUCCAGCUUAAUGCGAAUUAUAGGUGCAGGGUUGUGAGAUUAAUGGAUCCUGAUGAUGCCGAUGACGAGGACAAGGACAUAAUAUAUUUCAGCAACUUCAAACUCAUCGACAUGAGAGAUUUCUGCACGUUCAAAGUGCAGAUCUUCUCUUCUGAGACUGGUGAAUGGAAGGAGACAACUGUAAGAUCCGAGAGAACUGUAACAUCCGCGUACAACUUUACUUUGGAAAUGAUGAGUGUCUGUACUGGCGUUGCUUCCAAACUAAUGCUGUAUUGGAUGGGCGAUGAUGAUGUCAUUCUUAUUCAGUUGGAUCCGUUCAUGAUCGACAAGAGUGCUAGUGCUACUUUAUCUACCUGUUAUAGACACCGUAUCAGGAAUGAGUGGGACGCUCUUCCAAUGAGGUGCAUAGCAGCGUAUGAUGGGGGUGUGCGGAUGUGCAACUAGGACUAUGUUUCCGCCUAUCUGUCUGUUUGUGAGUUGAAGGAAGAAGAAGAAGAUGAUGAUGAUCCGAGGGUGAGUAUCCAUGGAGGAUCAAAGAGUUUGUUUGUGAAACUUAAGAAGAGGGUUUAUUUGGUGGAUGAAACAAAGGUUGUGAUAGGUCCAUGGACAGAGAUUGAGGGGGUAUUUUUUGACCAAAAUAACGAGGAUACCUUGUAUAUGAUAGUAGAUACGAAGAAGCUCCAUGGUCGGAUAAAAGAUACUAUCAGGUGCAACAUUGUAACCGGAGAGGUGUCAAAGAUUGUUGGAAACAGAAAAUUUAAUUGUUUCAGAUUCUUCCCGAUUGUGAUCCUAUGGUGGCCGACUCCAGUCCCUCGACUAGCGCAAGGUGCAAUAUCCAAAUAGCGCAGAGGUGUCAAAGUAAAUUUUUUCAAAUUCUUCCCGGCCGUUUGAAAGCUUAUGUUUCCUUCUUGUUUGGUUGGUUCGAUGGUGAAGUUUGCUACGCUGUGGACUCAAACAAGUGAAGCUGGAGAUGGGUAGGAAAUUGGCAGGCGGAAUAGGGGGUGGCAUUGGCAUGAAUGUACAGAUUUCUACAUUGUAUUUGUUCAUCUCUCAAAGCCGUCGUCUUGUUAACUCAUUAUGCUUUAUUUUAUUUUCUUUGCUUCAAUUUCAAUAACUCAUUCCGCUUUAUUGCAUGAUGUCUUCGGUUAGCUUCAAGGGCUUCAAAUCUUUUCUUAUAGUCUCUUUCCAAGUCUUCCUAUAUAUUUCUUUACCUCUUUGGCCGCAACCUUCUAUCUCGUAAUCAUAUCUUCUAACCAGAGCGGAGAAUCUGUAUGUUUCAUUUCACAUGUCCAAAAACACAAUUGAAAUUUUAUGCAAUUAAUCAAUUUGUUCAAAGUCAAUGAUUUGUUUUUUCUUUGACCGUGUCCGUGAGAAUCAAUUUCACGAGAGGACUAAGGGUGCGUUUGUUGCACCAAAUUAUUUUGGAUUGGACUAACUUUAGGGAUUAAGCUGGACUAGCUUAGAAUAAAGUAAGUUGGACUAAUUUAAUUGAAUGUUUGGUUUCGUAUCGAACUAAAAAGCAAGAUAAUAAAAAAAAUAAUAAUAAAUUCUAUGUUUUUCUUUUGCUUUUUCUUUUUCUUGUUCUAGGACACUCUCUUUGGACUAAGAAACCUCUCUCUUUCCUUUACCUUUUUUCCGUCCAAAUUCCACAACUCUGGACUAAGAAUCUCUCUUCCCUCUCCUUUUUUUUCGUCCAAAUUCCACAACUUUCUCCCUCCAUUUCAAUCAAUAAAGCUUCCAAAUCACAAAACGAAACACAAUCACAAAAUUCAAUUGAAAUCAAAAUCAAAAUCACAGCUAAGUCUCCUGUAUUCGUGACGGCGACGCUCUAAUUUCGAUCCCGACUUAUGUAUGGGUCGCGAACCAGGAUCGACUAGUCAAGAAUCUCAUAUCCUUGAGCUUGGAAAUCACCAGGUUAGGUCAGUUUGUGCUUGGUCUGGUGUGAUUUCGCAGGAUAGAGGAUAGAAGAAAGGACGCGAAGAGAGAGGGAGAUGACAUGAUUCUGUGACACAAACAACCAUAAGAGAACGAGAGAAGUAGAUAGAGGAGGUGAGAGCAGAGUAAGGUGUCUUAGUAAUCCAAAGGGGCAUUUGUUUGCCCUCGUUAAAGUUUGAUGGACCGGACGAAAUUUAAGAUUAGUCCAGUCCUAUAUUUGUUCCCAGCAAGGAUUAACUUUAGUGAGACUAACUCUCACUCGCCUCGACUAAAGACAAGACUAUCUGGUCUUAGGGAGUACCCCCGAGAACCAUGGGACUAGCUAAGACAAUCAUCUUUCUCAUCCUUGUCUUGCUUAACAACUACUCACGGCCACUCCUUGUGACAUUCGACCACACACUGCCGUUAACUUUUCGAUUUGACUAUCUCUUUCAAAUACAUUUCCCAACGAAUUUUCACAUAAAAAAUAUAUCAAACUAAAGCUAGGAGUGAGGGGAUUCCGUAUCUACCUGAAUUGAGGCCAAAAAGUGGUCGGAGGUGGCCGGAAAUUGGCUCGGAAGUCUCGGCAUGUUUGGGUUUCUUCGAAUCGAUGACAGAUUCGAGCAUGCAAAGCUUCGAUCUGUGUCCAGGGAUGGAGAGCAGUUUGUUGGUGGUGCUAACCUCAUUUAAUUUGACGAGGUUUAGCCGGAAAACAAGAUGGAAAACCUUCAACUUGUCGAAAAAAAAUGGAGAUGUAAGGUUUCGUCGAAUAACACAGAGCUAGAGCGAGGGAGAGAGGGGAGAGAGACUAGAAUCGAGAGGGAGUUGGACAGAAAAAAGGAGAGAUAGAGACUGGAAUUGAGAUGUCUAAUCUGGGAUAAUGAAGGGUGGGACGGAGAAAGGAGAGAAAAAGGGGGAGAGUGACGGUGAAAGAAGGAAAAGAGGGAGAAAAAUAUAGGAUAAUAAUAAAAUAUUAAUAUUUAUUAAUUAAAUAAUAUAAUAUUAUUUAUCUUGCUUUUUAGUCCAACAGAGCAUCAAACACUUCACUAAGCUAGUCCAGCUUAGUCUAUUCUAAGCCGGUCCAGCUUAAUCCCUCAAGUUAGUCCAGUCCGAGAUAGUCUGAUGUAACAAACGCAUCCCAAUGGUUUUGGAUGAGACACGCUAAGACCAGCUAGCCCUAUUGUUAGUCGAGGCGAGUCCUCCCUAGUACCACUAAUGUUAGUCCCGAGAGCAAACAAACACGGAUUGCACUAAAUCUUUAAUCCAAUCCAGUGAGAGCUAAAGAAGGCAAACAAACUCCCCCUAAAUUACAAGUUGGUAAUUUAAGUCCCCGUGUGGCGUGGGUGAGCGGUGCUGCAACUGAAACUAAGAGUGAAUGAGAAGGGAGACUAUUGAUAAUGGCCAGUGGAAUAGACAAUUGGUGUCUUCUAUUGUUGAUGAUGACAUUGUUAACAAGAUUUGUAGCAUUUCGUUGCCUUUGGUUCCUCAAUGUGACUCUUGAUGUUGAAGACCGAAUGCUAAUGGUAAAUUCUCGGUUAAAUCUGCAACGUGAAACCGUUUAGCUAGGCAUGUUAAUCUUCCCCAUUAGCUAGGCAUGCUAAUGGUAAAUUCUCGGUUAAAUCUGCAACGUGAAACCGUUUAGCUAGGCAUGUUGACUCUUGAUCUAAGGAUCUUUUAAAGAGAAUGUGGAACCAUAAUCUUCCCCAUGAAGUAAAAGUGUUUAGCUGGCUCCUCAUUCUGGGUAGGCUCCACACAAUAAACCGUUUAGCUAGGCAUGUUAAUACUAUCCCAACCAUUUGUCCCCUCUGUAACUUGGAGGAUGAAAGUUAAGUCACUUGUUUAUAAAUUGUAAUUUUGCAAGGCAGGUUUGGAAUAACCCAACUAUUUCUAAUUCUUUACUGACGAAUCAACUCUUGUGUUCAACUAUUGGCUUCAAUUCGUACACCACAAGAGUGAAGAUGACUUGUGUGAUUUAAAUAAGGCGCUUCUUAUUUGCUGGUAGAUUUGGAUAGAAAGAGAUCUCGUUGUUUUCCAAAAUAAAAAGCCUUACUAUACAAGAAUUGUUAUCUCCGCUAUUAGGGCAGAGAUCAUCUUAUAGCAAAUCAAAAGUUGCCUGGUAUUGCUAGUUGGCAUGACUCUCAUCCUAGUUCCAUCUGGUGGUCCCCUCCGAGCGGUGGUUUUGUCAAGCUCAACUUUGAUGGCUCAGCCGCUCAGUCAUUAGUCAGCAAGCGGCCUCGGGUUUAGUGAUCACAAAUGAGAAUGGCGAGCCUAUCGUUGCAGGGGCUCGAAGUAUUAGUCAGAAUACCAUCUCAGUUGCGGAAUGUUUGGUGUUGCGGGACGGCCCCUGGAUGGCUAAAUCUGGAAGCUUUAAGCGGAUCAUUAUUGAAAGCGACUGGAACCUUGUUAUUGACUAUUGAGUCUAUCCCGGCUUUUAUAACGUUCCUUGGAGACAGAGAACUAUCCUGGAGGACGUUCAUCGACUGGCGGGUUUCUUUGAGGAUAUUAGCGGGAAACAUGUGUUCAGGGAGGCCAAUUUAUUGGCGGAUAGCAUCACUAGUGUUGGUUUCUCUGUUAAUGAUUUUCAUAUCUGGGAUAGAACUCUUCCGAUGGCUGCUCGUCAGGCCUUUCUCUUUGGUUGUACUCAAACGGGUUGCCCUAGGGGUUUUUCUCUUUAAUUUAGUUAUUUUCUAACAAAAAAAAAUGUUUGAGUUAAAUGUGUAAUGUUAAUUUGAUGACUGAUGUGUUAGCGUUAGAUUUUCUAUUUCUCAAACCCAUAUGUUUUUUUGUUUGUUAUAAAUGAUAUUUGUAUGACUCAUUUCUAAAAAGAAAUCAAUCAAAAUAAUUUUUAAGAUUUAUAAUUGGUGCAUUAAUGGAAAUCACACAAUAAAAUAAUUAAGAAACUAAUUGACAUCACAUUUUUUUCAUAUGUCAAUCCACAGUUGGAGUUUCUUCAUACCUUCAAAUUUGAUUGCUUGAGGUUCCACUUAAGAUUCGACAUCUCGUUUGGAGAUGGUCAUAAGGUUUAAAGUGAUAUUUAAAUUGGACCAUGAUGUUUGUUUUAUUUCUCACAUUGCCCCUUAAUGUUUUGAAGUUAUAAACAUUUUGUAUAUCUGAACGUUUAGGUAUCUAUUAAAUUUAUACGGUUUUUAUGCUAUGUGGUGCAAAUAUAGUUUACAUGUCAAACUGAAAUACGAAAUUAUGCCUAAUGUAACAUAAAUUAAAUAAAAAUUCGAAUAAUUCAAUAAAUAAAUGUGUAAAUAGAUAUACUUUCAAAACUUUAUAAAGCAAUGUGGAAAUUUAAAACCGCGUGACCAUUUCAAAAAUCAACCCAAAACAUGGAGAGGGGGCUUUUGGUAUCGUUUGGUAUGUAGACGGGACGGGAUGAAAUGGAAUGAGACGGGAUGGGAUGGGAUAGGACAGGACGGAACGGAAAGGGAGCAAAGAUGUCCUCGGAUGGAAACAAGGAGGAAGAAGAAUGAGACGAAGAUGUUAUAAUUUUGUGUUCCACGGAUGUGGAACAAGUCGUUCCAGGGGGUGAGGCGGAACGAAAAUUCACCCAAAACUCGUCCCGUGGAACAACGUGUUCCACCCAUUUUAGGCGCACCAAAAGUUGAACUUCCCAUCGGAAUCCCCCAAGUUGCAGGCGAUUCAUCGAUCUUAAAUCUGGCCAAAUCCACCAUUUGAACAGGGAUUUCAAUGUCAUGGGUGUUCAGCGAGCAAUUGAUCGGGAUUUCAAUGUCAUGGGUGUUCAGCGAGCAGUUGAUCACACCUUCCAUUGAAUUGGAUGUGAAUUAGGGAAAAUUCGGAUGUGAAUUGGGGGAAAUUUGGAUAAGGAAAGUGUUCGGGUUUAGGCCAUCGCUUGGAAAAUGGGAAAUGUGAAGUCGCAACUCGACUGUGAGACUUUCGGCAUUUUACGCCGUCGUUUACCUUGAGUGGAUUGUAUUUUUGGUUCCUAAUACAAUCCAAUCGAGGCAAACAACGGCGUAAAAUGCCGAAAGUCUCACAGUCGAGUCGCGACUUCACAUUUCCCAUUUUCCAAGCGACGGCCUAAACCCGAACACUUUCCUUCUCCAAAUUUCCCCCAAUUCACAUCCGAAUUUUCCCUAAUUCAAAUCCAAUUCAAUGGAAGGUGUGAUCAACUGCUCGCUGAACACCCAUGACACUGAAAUCCCGAUCAACUGCUCACUGAACACCCAUGACACUGAAAUCCCUGUUCAAAUGGUGGAUUUGGCCAGAUUAAGAUCGACAAAUCGCCUGCAACUUGGGGGAUUCCGAUGGGAAGUUCAACUUUUAUCUACAAGCUGUAUGUCAUGCUCGCCCAAUCCAUAACAGAUCCUCGUACCAGAGAAGUCCUCUCUUGGAAGGAGGACGAUUUGUCGUUCGAAAUAAAAGAUUAUAAGGGGUUCGAUCUACUCAUGGGCGCACUGUUUUUCAGGCAUAAGAAAUGGCCAGCUAGAUUUUGCCACUACGUAAGCUUUCUGUUGUUCUUUUGAGUAAUUGAUUGCUAGAUUAGUUGUUGGGUGUGUUUUUAUGUUGAAUUCUUGGGUACAAAGCCUCUUUUAGAUUCAAUUAGAAAUUUCUGAGGCAAUGAGGCUGCAGAAAGAAGAGUAAUGGCUGUUUCAAUCAAGCCAUCUCAUUUUGCUGUGGAGUGUAUAUGUGUUGAAUGCCUUUAGAUGCAAGAAAGUCUUGAACACUUACUAAUGAACUCACCACCACCAUAUUGUAAAAGGCAGUCAUGUUUGAGCUGGGUUUUUUAAUUGGCCCAUAUCUUGUUUUCUUGAUUUCUUUGAUCAUUUUCAUGGAUUUCAGCUGUUUAAAUGAAGUUUAGGGAGAGAGUGAGAAGGGGGAGAGGGGGGGGGGAGGAGGGAGGGAGGGAAAGACUAUACAGUUGACAAAUUGGGUAGUCAUUCUUCUUCUUUUACCUUCUUGCUUGUCCUGCUUAGCAAAUGGUCAUAAUUAUUUGUAGAGAGAGAGAUAGAGAGAGAGAGAGAGAGAGAGUUGAAUUUCAAGAGGCAGAGAUAGGUUGCCUCAGAUCCAGGGAAGUCUAAGUUAAUAAGUUGGAACAAAAGUUGCUUUCUUUGAUAGGGUUGGGUUUUCCCGUGAUUCUUGGAGCUUUGCCUUUGUUGGGUUUCUUUCUCAUGACCCCCUUUUCUUUUUUCUUUUUUCUUUUUUCUUUGUUGUGUUUAGAUAAGGGGUUGGUUCUAAAUUUAAUCGGAUUUUUAUAUUUUUUUUUCUACUUAAUUGGAAAUAUAUGCAUAGAACUGAACAAAAAUUUCAAAAACUUCAGAUUUAUUCACAAGCGGAUAGAUCCAACAGUCACUCUCAUUUGGUCACUUGUCGAUUAACCUUGGUCAAGAGUUGAAACGAUGGCGAUGGUGCAAAUUCUUCAUAGUCAUCUGUCCAUGGGUGUUCGUAGCCUUGUUAAGCACAGUUCAUGGGUGGAUAUUAUCAGUAAUAUGGUGAUUUAUGUCUGUUAGUUUUCAAGUUGUAAGUAUAAAGUUCAUGGGCGUUCGCAGUCUUGUUAAGCACAGUUCACGUUGGUAAUCAUAUAAUCAGUAAUAUGGUGAUGUAUGUAUAACGAUAUUGAUUUAUAGUUUCUACUAGUCUUCAAAUUGUUCAUCUUUCUCAAUUCUUCAUUGUUCUUUGAUUUUUCUCAACGUAGUUAAUAAUUGAUUGCUAAUUUUUGUAUUUUAUUUUUUAUGCCAACUAUAGGGGAUCAAAUGCAAGUUCAAUCACCCAUCAUUGCAAAGAGGGCAGCCGAAUUGCCUUUCUCAAUUCAACAUGAUUACGGACAAAGUUGUGGGUAUAAAGUUACUUCCUAAUUUGUUAAAUUCAUAUUGAUUCUUUUGAAGGCGGCAAAAACUAAUAUGUAAUAAGAAGAGUAGUAUUUGUUUGAAAAUGAUUAGUUUACAUUUGGUACUUUUAUACAAUUGGGAAAGGAAAUCUUUGCUCUCCAAUGACAAACAAUGGAAAGCUAUCAACCACUAACAAGUACAAAACUGAUUAGCAGAAUGUUUAACAACUAAUACAACUUGCUCCUAUUGCUUAGCUAACUUUUUAAUAUGUUAAAUCUGAUUCUUUUGCAGCCAGCAAGGGUGAGGGAGAGGGAUCCGCCAACUGAGAAGCGGAGGUGGACUAUCUAGGUACGAAAAUGGGAAAAAGCCACAUCCUUCUUCUGUGGGAGGAGUGUGCAAUUGGUGCUCUUGGCACAACUGUCUAUAAACUUUUUUGUUUGUUAAUAGUUUGAGUUUCUUUGUCUAUUUUACAAUGAUAGAAUAGAAAUAUGUAGCUGGAUGGGUAUGGCCCUUUGUUUUCGAUGGCAGUGGGUAAAUUUUUUUGACUUUCUUUAACAGUUAGAAUAAAAUUCAAGAUUAACCAACUCAACAAAUUGGCCCAACGACCAUUUUUCUCUUUCCCUCCUUUCUUUUCCACUCUCUCCCCCCCCCCUCCUCUCUUCCCCUCUUUCUUUCUCUCUCCCCUCUCUCUUCCUCCUUUCGUCCACUUCUCUUCUCUCUCUCAUCUUUCAUCUUCCACUUGGCCCCACCCCUUUCGCUCUCUUCUCUCCUUAUGCCCAUUUUCUCUCUUUAUAAAUAUAUAUAGGAUAAAUCUCAGUUUACUACCUUUAAAUUUUGUGGUUUUCAACAUUUGAUACAUGAAUUUUUUUUUGUCCCAGAGUCAUACUUGAAGUAUUAAUUUUAGGACAGUCUCAUACAUCAUUUAGUCUGGCUAUUAAGUAUCUCGUUAACUGAUGACGUGACGCCCAUGUGGAUAAUGACUGGGCACCACGUGUUUUUAAGGAGUCCACGUGGAAAUUAAAAAUUCAAAAAAAAAAAAUCCCCUUUACUGUCUCUCAACCUCUCCCUCUCUCCCAACUCUCUCGUCCAUCUCCUUUCUAAAAAGUAGAAAAUCGAUGACGGCAAAGCCACACUACCACCACCGUAGCCAGUAAUCAAUACACAAAAUCAUAAAUUUCUCAGUUAAUCCUCUGUUUGGCUAGCCAAAAAUACAGAGCCCCAACUUUGUUUUCCUCAAGAAACCAAAUAGCCUUAAAUCACUCGCAUUUGAGUUCAAAAUUCAUAUCUCGGCUUCUUGGAGACAGACAUUUCGAAACCCUAGAUGGUGAUCACAAAUCUCAAGUUCUGGACUGGCAACCAAACGACGCCGUUGAUGUUGAUGAAGCAUCGAUUUCAGACUCAGAGCCUAAAACUACGGCGUGGCCUGAAGAGACUCUUAAGAAACCAAAGGAAAGAUUGAAGGGCAAAUUAACUAGGUUUGAGUAAUAGACAAUUGGGUGAAUGAUUUUCUUCAAUUGCUUAACUAUUCCUCAUACAAAGAUUAUAUACAACACUUUACAAUUAAUACAUAUCUACAAUUUAUGGCAUGCAAGCCGUGAUCCCCAAUUCGUGGGAUUGACCUAGGCUAGGAAAGGCAUGUAACUUUUCCCUGAUCUGUGGGAUUUCACCUAGGCUAGAAAUUCAUAAUACAAUUAUAAUAAUAUUUCCUUAAUAGAGACACCGAUGCUCUCAUCAACAUCGUCUACAAGAAGGCCAUUUCGACAAUGAUCAGUGAAAAUCUCGACAAAUGCAAUGAAAUCAGAAGCUGAAAUGAUGUCGUGGCCGUGUUGGCGACCAAAUGACCACGGAGAGGACGAGAUCGCAUCGAAGAAAAUGGCGUUUAGGGUUUUAGACAGAGAGAGUGGAGGUGAAGAUUGUGGAGUUUUAGAGAGAGAAAUAGAGAAAAGAGAGAGGAGAGAUAGAUAGAUAGAGAGGAGAAAGGUCUCUGCAAAUUCAACCCUUGCAGAUUAUGAAACCGAGUCCUUGAGCACAAAAGUUAACACUUUUAACUAACUGAUCUACAAGCCACUUGCACAUUAUGAAACCUUUGAAAUGAAUUUUUCAUAUUUAAGAUCUCUAAUUUCUAUAUGUAAUCAACAUAUGAAAACAACAAAUUGCUACUACUAACGGGCACAUAGUAAUUCAACUAUGUUUUUGUUUCUCAAGCUCUCAUAAGAAGUUGCGGUUCAUUCUAAAUAUAUAAAAUCAUAAGGGAAAAAUUAUUCAAAAGUGUAGGAUAAUAUUUUUGGAUUGUCAAUAACAACACUUUGUUCAAUAAAAAGAUAAUGACUACACUUUAUUACUUAAACAUGAAAAAUUGUCAAUAGAUAAAAAAAAAAAUCCGAAUUUAUAUUUAGACAAACUUGAACGUGAUUUUGCAAGUAAAUUCAAACUGAAAACAAAAAACCACUACUGAAAAUGCCACAUUUAACAACCUAAUUAACGUUCGUUUGUUAUUUAAAAGUAGACAAAAAAAAAAAAACACAACGAAAAAAGGGGGAAACUAUCCACUACUUUAUGUUGAGAGAGGGAAUUGAACUUGGGUGGGCACGGAACCAAAAACCACAAGAAACCACUCUGCCAUCUAAAGCAUGGUGAUACUAACAAUGAGCGUUUACUAUAUGAAAUACAACAAUCUCAUACACAUAUAAAACAACUUAAUUUUUUUGGGUCCCCAAGCAAUCACCCUGAUGGCACUGGGCCGAGGCCGGGGCUGCGGAAAGGGAGGGGAGGGGGAUUGGGAACUAUACAGGUAAGCUUUUUCAAUUUUUCUUUUUAAGUUUUUUUUAUUAUAUUAAAAUUUUGUCAUUUUCAUUAAAUUUCAAUUUUUUGUCAUUAAAUAAAAUUAUUAGGUAGUUUUUUGUUUAAAAAAAGUUUGUGGAAGCUCUUUUCAUUAAAACUCUCUAAAUAUAUUGGCUCUUGAUGUCAACUUAAUAGAAUAUAAAUACAAAAUGAAUUAACUUAUUUUGCUGUGAUUCACCUAUCUCUUGGUUUUUCAAUUAUUUGGUGAUGACUAUGUUGAUUUGUGAUUUUGUGGGAAUUGCUCAAGUAAAAUGUGUGUUGUCUAAAUUGUUGCAUUUGAAAAUGCGAUUGUGUUGCUGUUAACUUUAGAGGGAAAAUUUCUAUGAAUAUUAUUCAUGGUGGUUGUUCAUUAUAGUUUGAAAUCUUGCAGAAGAGUGCGUGAAAUUUUUCUAGUGAAAACUCUAUAAUUAAAAUAGGAAAAAUUAGUAUCCGGUCCUUAGUUUUUACUGUUCAUUGACUAAGACCUUAUUAGUUCUCAAAUUUUGAUUCAAGUCCCUAGCAUUAAUGUGAUAAUGAAUUUACUUGUUUAUUAUUUUUUAAUAUAAAAAUUAGUAAUUAAUUUAGGGUUUAAUACUCACACCUCUAUUAAACUUCUAAUUAAUUUUCAAUUCAAACAUUUCCAAAAUAAUAAAAAAAAUUAAAUUAAGUUUGUACCUAUUAGUUUUUUUUAUAUAUAAAAAGAUUCUCAAUUUUUUAAUCUUAAAUGUACCCAUUCAUAUAAUUUUUCAAUUUUUUUAAUCUUAAAUGUACCCAUUCUCAAAUAUAUCAAUUUGUUAUAUGUAAAAUGUACCCUUUUUUUAAUAUAAAAAUCCAUUCAAAUUUUUUAAUCCAUGUUUAAACUUAUACGGGUACAUUCUUUUUCGUUGAUUUGAGAAUGUAUCCAUGUUUUGGUACAAUAACUUUUUUUGUUAAUUUUGGUUAAUGUACCCAUACAUAUAUGUGUAUAUACACACACACACACACACACACAAUAUAAUAGAAAGUAUAAUUUAUAUUUUAUUAUUUUUAAUCCCAUGAAUUAUGGGUUUUGUUUAAAAUCUCAUUAAUAUAAACAAUUACAAAUUUCAAUUUUUAAUUUUUAAUUUUUAAUUAAAAAAAUAUAGUAACUUACAUUAUUACAUUAAUGUCAGGGACCUCAAUCAAAAACUAAAAACUAACAAGGUUUCAAUCAAAGAUUAUUGAUAGCUAGGGACCGCAUCCAAAGUGUCCCAUUAAAAUAAUUCUACUUCCUAUUCCUUACCCCCCCCCCAACCUUAUCAAAACAUUUUUUUAGGAACCAAAAAUACAAUUCAACUUUCCUUUUCUUUUGUUGUGAGUCAUGACUUGCGCGAUGCUUACCUUUGUAUUCAUAAUCCAAACGAAUUUGAAAGCACUAAUUUGUGAGUCGUUGAGCCAAUUAAAAUUUUCCACGUGUUUAUUGCCUUUUUUCCAUUAAUACUAGUAUAUGCCCACACACAGAAUGUAUGUGAAAUUUUUUUUAGUUUUGUUUUUAAAAUUGAAGGGGAGAGAGAGAGGGAGGGAGAGAGAACGUAUGCCCACACAGAGUGUGUGAAAUUUUAUUAAUUUUAUUUUGAAAGUGAAGGAGAGAGGAAGAGAGAGAGAGAGAGAGAAUGUAAGUCCACAUACAAAUGUGUGAAUUUUUUUAGUUUAGUUUUUUAAAUUGGAGAGAGGAAGAGAGAGAGGAAGAGAGAGAGAAAGUAUGCCCACACACAAAGUAUGAAAUUUUAGUAGUUUUGUUUUUAAAAUUGAAUGAGAGAGAGAGAAUGUAUGCCAUACACAAUAUGUGUGAAAAUUUUUAGUUUUGUUUUUAAAAUUGAAGGAGAGAGAGUGUGUGAAAUUUUUUAGUUUUGUUUUUAAAAUUGAAGGAGAGAGGAAGAGAGAAUUUUUUUAAUGAAUGAAUCGUAUGGGCUGGAUUGAUACGUCUGCCUUACCAAUUCGGCGGGUGCUCGGGAUUUUCUCAUUCGAAUAGAAAAGGGGUUUCAAAGGAAGAGAGAGAACUAUGCCCACACACAAAAUGUGUGUGUGUAAAAUGAUUUAGUUUAGUUUUUAAAAUUGAAGGAGAGAAAUAGAAAGAGAAAGAAUGGUAUGCCCACACACACUGUAUGUGAAACUUUUUAGUUUUGUUUUUAAAAUAUGACAUGCAGCAGGCCCUGGCAAUGACACACACAUACUCUUUUUAAGGACGUGAUUCUAGGGGUGGUUCGGUAUGGGAUCCCAUACCGAAACCCUUGUCCCAAUUCCCAAACCGAAAUUUUCGGGAAUCCCAAUUUCAAUACCGAUCCCAAACCAAAUUUUCGGGAAUCCCAAUUUUUGGGAAUCCCGAAAUAGUUUCGGGAUUUCGGGACAAAUCGGGAAUCCCGAAAUGGUUUUGAGCUUUUGGACUAAAAUUUGACAUAUUAUGCUUUUGAGCUCAAUUUGGCAAUUUGUUUCUACUAAUCUGCCAAUCAAAUGGCAAAGCAUGUUUGUACUAAUUUGUGCACAAAUUUGAGUCCGUGUACACCAGUAAGUAAAAAUGGAUAUAAUAAUGGAUGGAAGGAAAAAGAAAGUCUGUGUACACCAGUAAGUACAAUUGUAGCAUAAAAAAAUAAUACGCCAGCUUAAAUUUCUAUAUAGCACAUGAAUCUUUCAUCUCAAUGCAUAUGUGAACCAUCCAGAUGAAGAAAUAUUAAGGAGUGGCAAGGUAUCAAAUAAUCAAAUAAUCAAAUAAUCAAAUUUAUAUUCAAUGGUUGAGAUUAAAUCUCAACAGAAUCCGACAGCUAUUAAAAAUCUAAAUAUAUAUUUAAAAAUUAAACAAUAUAUAUAUAUAUAUAUUUUUUUGGUUUGGUUUGGGAAUACCGAAAUCCCAAAAACUUGAGACCGAUUCCCGUACCGAAAUUUCGGGAUCGGUUCGGUAUUGGGUACCAAAAUUUUUGGGAAUUUCGGUUUGGUUUCGGGAAUUUUUUGGUUCUGUUUGGGAUUUUUGGGAUUUUGUUCCAGCCCUACGUGAUUCCGUGGGAGUGCACAAAUUUCUCCAAAUUCUCGAACACCAUUUCCCCCAAAUUCACAUCCAAAACCCCAUAUUGCCAAGUUCAUCGGAUGAAGCAAAAUCGAAAAGGAGUUAGUCAAGACAUCAUGGUGGUCGAUGAAGAAAAUCCAUGGGGAAUUCCGGCGGAUACUCCGGCAUUUGUCGGUAGGUUGUACUCCGCUCUAAUGGAGUCAACCAUCGAUGCCAAUGUGAGGGCAAUCAUCUCUUGGGAAGAUGAAUCUAGCUUCGUGAUUCAUGAUUUUGAGGCCUUCAGUACUUUAAUGGACAAGUAUUUCACGAAUGAAAGAUGGAUGACCCAGUUCACUUGCCUUGUAAGUAACCCUUCCGAAUAAUAGUGUUAUUUUUUAUUUUUGAUAUUUUGAAUUAUUAAUUUAUGUAGGUUUUAAUUUCGAUGAUUAUAUAUACACAUCAAUAGUUGCUCAUUAAUUACAGGGCAUUCGUUCUGAAUUCGUGAACCGGCAUUUGCAAAAGGGGCAUCUUGAUUUGCUCAAGCAACUCAAGUAUUCGAGGCGAAUUGAAAUUCCCCAAGCCCAACAAGAAAAUGAACCGGCUAGCUCGAGUGAAAACUAAAAGACCCGCGGCGUCGGUUUGUUUAAGAAACUUGAUAUUUUGCAGUGUUAUGCGUCGAAAACCGACAGUAUCCAUAACUGACUAAGAAAAUGAGCUCAUAUUUUGCAGUGUUAUGCGUUUAUAUUUUUUUUACAACAAAAAAAAUGGGCUCAUGUUUUUGAAAUUGAGAUCCAAAUAGCUCAUAGCUCUUGUUGAAACUGACUAAGAACAAGCUCACAGAAAAGCAUUUUUGACUGUCUUUAGCACUCCAUACAUACAAACUCGGAAUAAACGAUAUGCAACCAACCAUGGAACAUAUUCUUAAACUAACAACUUAGAAAACUUCACAAUCAAUCAAUCAAUCAAGUUUUAUUAUUCAGAUGUUAUGCGUUCAUAUUUUGCAGUGUUGCAGUGAUUCUUCUGUUGAGAUUUGAGCAAGGUAGAGAUGUGAUGGUGGAGGUUGUUGGUGACUGAUUCGAUCUUGUCUUCCGUGGGAAGAGUAUGCAAUUGGUGCUCUUGGACGACUUACUUUUAUGUUUAUUAAUAAUUUCAAUUUGAUUGUGUGGAUCCUAGUGUUAGUCCUUUGGAUAUUCUAACCAGUAGAGUUUUCUUAGCAUGUCACUGCUAUUACCUUGUUGGUAAUCUUUUACAGUGCACUUGCUAUUAGCCUAUUACAAUGUUAAUUUCCCUAUAUGUUCGGAUAGUUAUGAAUCUUAACUUAAUUUCACUAUAUUAUUGAAAAUAUUUAGAUAUCGAAAUCUUGAGAUUUGUAUGUGGUUCAAUAUCUUAGCAGAUGCGGUAUUGGGUUUUUACUUGUACAUCCUAGAUUCAAGACAUCCCCUCCCCUUUACUAUAGUAUAAGGGCAUAUUUACUUGACAAAAGAUGGAAAAAAAAAAGGAAGGAAUCGAAGUAGGAGAAUUGAGGAAAAGAAAUUAGAUCAUCUAGUCCCCUAUUUAGUAAACGCAUGGAACUCUGGAAUUAAAAUAAUUCUACUUCUUAUUCCUUACUAAUUUGCCACGUGUUUCUUGCCUUUAUUUUACUAAUGUAUGUUGAAAAAAUUGUUUCAAGUCAUACAAAAAUCAGAAAACAAUCCGAGAGUUGCUACGGAUUAUUAAUGCAAGUUGCGACUAGUUAGAAUUUCAACCUCAUAAAAACUGUACAUACACUUGCAUGCCGGCCUAAAGACGUGCAUUCAAAAUUUGUCAUGGCAACCAAUGAGUUUGCUAGAUCAUGGUUGGUCAUGGCAAGAAAGAUUUCGUGCUUAUCUUAAAAGACUAGUGAGGCUUUAAGGCCUAGGAAGAUAGAAUAGCUUCAAAUGUUUCAAUCAAUCUCAUGCAUUUCAGCAAUCACAAUUAUGAGAGAAUUGUGUGGGUGACUUAAAUGUCAUUAAGAUAUAAUGGUAUUUACUUAACAACGGGUAGAAUUCCUAAAGAUGACAAUAUCUAAUUCUAAGAAGAAUUUGCUUCUAUGAGUAUGAGAUGACUAAAUUCUCUAAAGCUCUUAUGAAUCUGAGAUUUGUUCAGGAUAAAAAUCAAUACAACCCUAUAAACCGUUAUAUAUUAGGAUUAGUGAUGUGUGUUUCUUAUUGUCUCAGUUUACUGUUACGGUGAGCAUUUCAAGAUCUUCCACAUCCAUUGCAUCACCAAGUAAAUUCGACAAGUAUUCACUAGUGUAAGUUCAAAUCUAAAAGACACUUCUCUUGAUACAUUUCUUGUCUGCAUGUACUCUCAAAUUCUUCUAAUUUUUUAUUUAUGUGUGGGAUUGUCGGAAAUUAUAUACUAUAAUAUAAAUAUUGUAAUAUAUAAUUUUUAUAAUUAAAUAAAAAUUAAUGUUAAUCGCUUUCAAAGAAAGAUUAUGUCAUUUGUAUUUAAUUGGUGCCAUCCCUUGCUAAAAAAAUAAUGUUAAUCUUCUACAUCUUGCCCAUGCAAAUGACCGUCUUUCGUUGAUUUCUUCGUCUUCUCCGUGCCGCACCGAUAUAAUAAAAAUUUAAUUUUUCUUGUCUUCUUUUUGGAUAGUGCUGUCGCGGGGAAGCCGUCGGGGUGAUGCAGCAUGUCGGCUGGCAGGGGUCAGGAGUCGGCUCGGCAUGGGCUGAUGAGGUGUUGUGGCAGGGACCACUACUUUAGGCUGCUCAACUUGGCUAGAGCCAUGGGCAACUUGUGAGGUUGGGACCACCGAUUGAAGCGCUGAAAUGUAGUGCUAGGUGAGCCGCAUAACUCAUGUCCUUUGGGCUCUUGGACUUGACGUGGGCCAGGCUGACGAUUGAGAGAAAUGAAGAGGUUGCGGGCCUUAUGAGCUGUUAGAAUGUUGGGCAUGCAAGCCUCCUGCCUGCUGGAAUGUUAGGUUGAGCUCCCCUGCUGAGUACCGUAAAUGGCGUUGGUUGCUUAGCUCUUUUUACCGAGAGAAAAGUGGACUGCUCCCGAGAGAUGAUGUAAAGAUGAUCAAGGCGGAUGCAUUGGCUCUUUUGAUCGCUGUUGUGGAGCCUACUAUGAAUGAAGGUGGAAAGAAGAGAUCUUCCCCGCCUGCUCAAGAAAUGUCGAUUGAGAAAAAACUGAGGACUUCCUCUGCUGCUCAUAAGGGUUUGCUCGCUGCCGAAAUGCCUGUGAUUGACAUAACUUCUUCUAAUGGGAAGAAAAAAUGAGGCUGCUAGAUCUGAGCUCGUGGCGCCUGCCAUGUCGAGAAUGGCUGAUUGAUGAUAGGAUUGCUCAGCGUAAAGGUCAUGUCAUGCCUCAAGUGCCAAAGUCUAUACCAAGAUGUCUGUUGGGAGCUAAGUCCGGUUCACCUUUGGAGAGGCUUGCCACUAUGAAUAGCGAUAAGGUAGACUCUGCUGCUAAAGUGGCGCCAAGGCCCACUCCAUUUGUUGCUGAAACUGAUUCGCCUGCUAGGAAGGAGGAGACUGCUUGCAUGGGUAGCUGUGAGCCUAUGAGAAAUCCACUAAGCCUGUUUUUGGGGAGGUUGCUGAGAUUUAUGUGCUUUUGAAACUAGAUCUGCUUGAAGACAUGGACACUUAUGCCAAGUUUGUUGAUGGUGGUAGAAAGGUUGUUUGCCCAAGUUCCUUUGCGAAACAUACGACCCAAUAUAGAAGGACUGCUCUACUUGCUAUGAUGCAUAUAUAGUAAGCCUGCCAAGGAGGUGGCGAAGAUUAUGGCAGCUGAAGCUUAUUCCUCAGUCAAGGAGAUCAAGAGGUUAGAUUCUGAGCUUGUUGCUUUGAAAGGGUCUAAAAUUUCUGCCCCCACUUCUCUACAGCUUAAGACCGCUUGCCACAAGAUCGUUGACUUGAAGACUAGGCUUGAUGAGAUCCAAGUUAAGUAUGAAAGUACGGAGAAUGAGAUUGGAUGUUACAUACCUCAUAUUUAAGAUUAGUAUUAUAUAUUAGGAUUAGUGAUGUGUGUUGCUUAUUGUCUCAGUUUACUGUUGCGGUGAGCAUUUCAAGAUCUUCCACAUCCAUUGCGUCACUAAGUAAAUUCGACAAGUAUUCAAUAGUGUAAGUUCAAAUCUAAAAGACACUUCUCUUGAUACAUUUCUUGUCUACAUGUACUCUCAAAUUCUUCUAAUUUUUUAUUUAUGUGUAGGAUUGUCGGAAAUUAUAUACUAUAAUAUAAAUAUUGUAAUAUAUAAUUUUUAUAAUUAAAUAAAAAAUAAUGUUAAUCGCUUUCAUAGAAAGAUUAUGUCAUUUGUAUUUAAUUGGUGCCAUCCCUUGAUAAAAAAAAAUAAUGUUAAUCUUCUACAUCUUGCCCAUGCAAAGGACCGUCUUUCGUUGAUUUCUUCGUUUUCUCCGUGCCGUACCUAUAUAAGAAAAUUUUAAUUUUUCUUGUCUUUUUCUUGGAUAGUGCUGUCACGGGGAAGCCGUCGGGGUAAUGCAGCACGUCGGCUGGCAGGGGUCAGGAGUCGGCUCGGCAUGGGCCGAGAAGGUGUUGUGGCAGGGACCAUUACUUUAAGCUGCUCAACUUGGCUAGAGCCAUGGGCAGCUUGUGUGGUUAGGACCGCAGAUUGAAGCGCUGAAAUGUAGUGCUAGGUGAGCCGCAUAACUCAUGUCCUUUGGGCUCUUGGACUUGACGUGGGCCAGGCCGACAAUUGAGAGAAAUGAAGAGGUUGCGGGCCUUAUGAGCUGUUAGAAUGUUGGGCAUGCAGGCCUCCUGCCUGCUGGAAUGUUAGGUUGAACUCCUCUGCUGAGUACCAUUAAUGGCGUUGGCUGCUUAGCUCUUUUUACCGGGAGAAAUGUGGACUACUCCCGAAAGAUGAGGUAAAGAUGAUCAAGGCGGAUGCAUUGGCUCUUCUGAUCGCUGUCGUGGAGCCUACUAUGAAUGAAGGUGGAAAGAAGAGAUCUUCCCCGCCUGCUCAAGAAAUGUCGAUUGAGAAAAAACUGAGGACUUUCCUCCGCUGCUCAUGAGGGUCUGCUAGCUGCCGAGAUGCCUGUGAUUGACAUAACUUCUUCUAAUGGGAAGAAAAAAUGAGGCUGCUAGAUCUGAGCCCGUGGCGCCUGCCAUGUUGAGAAUGGCUAGAAUGAUUGCUGAUAGGAUUGCUCAGCGUAAAAGUCAUGUCAUGCCUCUAGUGCCGAAGUCUAUACCAAGAUGUCUGUUGGGAGCUAAGUCCGGUUCACAUUUGAAGAGGCUUGCCACUAUGAAUAGCGAUAACGUGGACUCUGCUGCUAAAGUGGCGCUAAGGCCCACUCUCUUUGUUGCUGAAACUGAUUCGUCUGCUAGGAAUGAGGAGACUGCUUGCAUGGGCAGCUGUGAGCCUAUGAGAAAUCCACUAAGCCUGCUUUUGGGGAGGUUGCUGAGAUCUAUGUGCUUUUGAAACUAGAUCUGCUUGAAGACAUGGACACUUAUGCCAAGUUUGUUGAUGGCGGUAGAAAGGUUGUUUGCCCAAGUUCCUUUGCGAAGCAUACGACCCAAUAUAGAAGGACUGCUCUGCUUGCUAUGAUGCAUAUAUAGUAAGCCUGCCAAGGAGGUGGCGAAGACUAUGGCAGCUAAAGCUUAUUCCUCAGCCAAGGAGAUCAAGAGGUUGGAUUCUGAGCUUGUUGCUUUGAAAGGGUCUAAAAUUUCUGCCCUCACUUCUCUAUAGCUUAAGACCGCUUGCCACAAGAUCGUUGACUUGAAGACUAGGCUUGAUGAGAUCCAAGUUAAGUAUGAAAGUACAGAGAAGGAGAUUGGAUGUUACAUACCUCAUAUUUAAGAUCUUAAGUUUGUAGUUUCUGAGCUUCGUUUCACUGCUUAUGCAAAGGAUGAAGAGUUGAUUGCUGCUUAUAAUCAAGUGAUCCACUUCAAGAGAAUCAUCAAUAAGCUUGAACCCCAAGUGUUGGAACUUCAAGGUGUAUUGAAGAUCAACGAAAGUUUGAAGAAGGAAGUGGAUGAGCUACAACGCGUCCGUGUUGGUCUGCUUGAGAAGAAUGAGCAGCUGAAGGGUGAGAAGGAUAGGCUUGAGGUUUCGAGACCUUCUCUAUUUCUUCGGAAGACUUGCUUGCUUUUACUUUUGAUACUUUCAUUGGUGAAGUAGUUGGAGAAGUUAAUGCCCAGGCUAGGGUAGCCGGGGAUGAAGCGCUGGAUGAUGCCGCUGCUAAGAGCGUCGAGGCUGCUGAAGGUGUGGUGACCGAGUAGUCGUGGGAUGUCCAAGCUGCUGUAGUCUUCUAGGUAGCCUUUAGGAUUUUAUUUGUUUUUCCUUGUAGCUCUUAUUUUGCUUGAACUUCUUCGGCCUUUGCUAAUUGUUUAUAAGCAUGCUUCUUUCUCUUUUCUUCAUCUUCGCUUCUUUUGUUCAUGCCCUAAUCUUUAGACUUGACAGACCAGUAGCAGGCAUGCUACUUUUUAUAAGCAAACAAGCUCGCGUAGCUUAUGCAGCCGUAGGUGUUGGUGUAGAACUUUGCAAAGUUAUUAGCCAUAGAGUUGGCAGCCGGAUGCCUUACUUACAGAAGCAGACAAGUUCGCGCAACCACUAGGUUGUUAACCUUGGCUUUUUCCAAUUCUGUAGGUUGCGUAGUAAGUAACACAACACUUUAGGACUUUGUGUAGGUUGUUCCAUGCUUGGCAAAUGUGAAGCUUAUCGACUACGUAACAUGUUGGCAGUGGAUAAAGCUUCGUAUAUGCACGCUAGCUUGUUUAGCCUUUCACAAGAAUGUGUGGUUGUAUAAGUCUAGCGUGGCUUUACUGCUCGAAGGGCAACCCGUAGGCAAUCUUUCAGAAACCGUAGGCUACUUUAGUGCACUCAGUAGCAGCUUUAGAGUUCCAAAACAGUUGUUUGUAAGGCGUAUUGUGUAAUGUGCCCCCUUCGUCUCUAAGGCCCGGUUCCCCACGGAUUAGGCCAAGAGACCCAAAAUCCUUUAGUUAGCUAAGCCUUGAAAAAGACCAUUGUGGCUACUUUUAGGAAUCCCGGCGUAAGCCAUCAUGCAUUUAGUUAUACUAGGGUAGCCGUGCUCAUCCACGUCUGGAUAUUCAGAGUGUAAAGUUUAUCCUCCUGUCUUGGAAAGCUAACCCAUAUGGGUGUCGGGGAAUUGGUUUAUCCUCUCGCACUAGAGAACAAGUUUACCCUCUCACACUCGAGAGCAUGGUUGGUCCUUCAGAGGCGCAAUUCCUGCGAUGAGUCCCUAAGAAGGGCGCAAUCUUCUUUUGAAGUGCAUGAGUGAUCAGUUGUUGUAAGCAUGCAUCUAAGCCAAUUUGUGAUUACUUCUGAAUUCCUCAUUGAAAAAUGAGUGAAACGAACAAGAACUUAGCUGUAAGGUAGGAAAUGCAUAACAACUGGAUAGUCAUCGGCUUGUGAGGUGGUGCCAGUCGAGCUUCUUGAGUCUUUGGGCUUUAAUGUAGUGGGAGGUCACAUAUGAUACUUCUUCAGAUUAUAGGCACUCCACUGCUUUUUGAUCUUUUUAUCGUUUCAUGGUGACGAGGGUGUAAUUACUCUUGCCACCUACUCUGCUGAUCUUGUACGGACUUUCCCAGAUGAGGUCCAUCUUUUUUGGAGCCUUCUCUGCGGGCAGUGAUGAAGGCUUUUCUUAGGACUAGAUCUUCUGGCUGGAACUGCCAAAUCUUGGCCCUUUUGUUGUAGCUGGAGAUGAACUGCUGCUGGUAGGUUGCAAUGUGGGUGAUAGUCUGCUCGCACUUCUCUUCUGCCAGAUUUAAACUUGUGGCCAUCUCUUUUUUGCUCAAUGCUUGGUAGUAAAGUGGUGAUACUUGACUUGAUGACAUUGAGAUGAAUGAUUGCUUCUAAGCCAAAUGCCAAAGAGAAAGGAGUCUCACCGGUUGCUCGUCUUUUGGUGGUGGGAUAUGCCCAUAUACAUCUAGGAAGUUCGUCUGGCCAUUUUCUUUUCUUACUGGUAGGGGAUUUCUUGUGACGUCAAAGAUCAUCUUGGUGGAUGCUUUGGCCCGCCUAUUGCCUUGAGGAUAUCUUAGCGUAGACAUGUGCUGCUUGAUGCCAUAUUUUUGGAAGAACUUCGCCAAAUCUUUGCCCAUGAAUUACGGGCCAUUGUCGGUGACGAUGGAUUAAGGGAUGCCAAAUCGGCAAAUGAUGUUCCUCCAUAUGAAGCGUUCUAUGUCCGUCUGAAUCGUGAUCGUCAUGAGCUCUGCUUCUACCUAUUUGGUGAAGUAGUCGGUUGCCAUGAUUAUCAUGCCUUUGCCCCUAGUAGUCUGGCUGGUGAUUAGCUGGGAAUCGGAAUGAAUUGAAAGCUUUUUCACCGCCAAGUCUUUUGUUAUUCGAAGACCUACUAAUGAGGAUUCGUACUCUGCUUCAUUGUUGGAUGCUUUGCAACCUAGAAUGAUUGCCUGCACGGGCAUCGAACUGCCUGGGGUGACAAGGACCACGUCUGCUCCUGAACCUUUGUAGUUGGAUGCGUCGUCGACAUGCAAAUGCUAGAAGUCUCUAUCGGCUAGAGUGUGCUCGGCUACUUCUGGGGCAUCGUUGGGCCGCUCUAUUGCGUCACCUAGGCUCGGCGUGAAGGUGUAGUAGGGAGCUGUGGAGAUGGGGCCAUGUGACACGCAGCAGGAAAUGCUCAACUGCCAGUAUUGGGCCACUCUGGAGUUGAAUUAUUGAGCAAGGGUUGGCUAGGGCCGUGUGGUGCGCAGCAAGAGAUGGUACUCAACUGCUGGUACAUGUUGCUCCUAUAUAGAAUCUUUUAGGGUGAUGAGGACAAAACUUGCUUCCGAGUGUGUCCUUCCAGUAUUCAUCUACCCUUGUCGUGUCUUUUUAACUGAGUUGUUGCGUUGGUCAGAAAACUUUACAUCUGCCAGGGUCUACGCCUUUAUCGUCGCGCGUCUGGAUUGGACGGAAUAGUACGUUAUGAAGAUGAUUGUAUGUGUUUGAAAGUAAAACUUGAGCUUCCGGGUUGUAACAACUAUCGCCAAAGUUAGUUUUUGAAUUUCUGAAAAUAUCAAUGAGAGUUUUUAAAAUGUGGAAUACAGCUGAUAGCAUCGAGGAAAGCUUUUAAACUAUGGAAUAUAGUCGGCCCCCCAGCUCUUCUUAUAUGAUGGUAGAGCUUAUUGUCGUCCAGUCAGACUUUGAAUCUCCUUCAAAGUGGUGGGAGACUUCAUAUUCAAGAUCGCUCGGAUUUGCCUUGAAUGGGCAUCGGCGAACUUUGUCCCAAAGUACAUGCUUUUAUGCAAAGCAAAAGAGUCUGCCAGAGUUAGAUCUUCUUUCAUUAUCAGUUUUCAGAAAAGUGGGUGGUCUACUGGAAGUCCUUUUUGGAAGGCUGCUCUAGUUAUCGAGUCGUUGCAUCCGACUAUCUUUGCAUUCUCUGCUUUGAACCUCUUCAUAUAGUCACGAAGCGACUCUUUUAGUUUCUUCUUGACGUUGAACAAGUGGUCGGACUUCUUCUUGAUCGAGCGAUAUGAUGAAUAUUCUUUGGUGAAAACCAAAGAUAGUUUGUCAAAACUCCGAAUGGAUUAUGGCGGUAAGGUAUAGAACCAAUCUUGCGCCUCGCCUUGUAGAGUGGUGGCGAAUAUCUUGCACAUGAGAUCAUCGUUGUUUUGAUAGAGGAUCAUUGCGCUUCAGUAGUGCUUUAAGUGUCUCUCCGGGUCUUCAUCCCCUUUGAACGAUGUGAAAUGUGGUAUACUGAACUCACGUGGAGGCUCUGCCUGCUCGAUCUCGUCCGUGAAUGGUGACUUGCUUAUGUUGAUCAUGUUCCAUCGUAGUGCCUCGCAAUCGCUUGGUCAAAGGUCUCUCUACUUCUUCCUGAAUUUACCUUUGUUGAGGUAGUGGAGCUCUCGGCUUCCUCCAAUCGUGACUUGUUGGUCUAAGCUGCUCUUCCAUGUGUUUGGCUCGUCUAUGCCGCUGAUACGGUACGUGUAGUGCAUUCAUAGCUGGCGAGCGAGUUUUUCGCAAGCUUCCGGUUAAACUUGAGCCAGAUUGAGUAACUGAUUCUCUCCGUCCGUCGUGCUGCCUACUCCGAUGUGAGGUGGAUGAUGUUCCUUGCGGGCUUAGCCGCUAAUGAAUACUUCGCCUGGAAGGUUGCUCAUGUUGACUAUUGGAGUGUGACCCCAACUGUGAAUGUAUGCUCGUCUGUGGGCCUAAUCGAGAGUGCACCCUUCUCCGCGCUCUAAGACGGGAGUAUACACUAUCUCGGGGGCCCAAUCGAGAGUGUACACUGCCUAAACGCUUGGUUCGUGGCUGGUCGAGUGGCUGCUUACCAGGACGCUGCUGGAGAGGUUAUUUGUCUGCCUUUGUCCUACUUCAAGACACCUCGUCUGGGGCACGCUGCAUCUCGGUGCGCUGCAAGAGUUGGUUCACCAAGGUCAUUUGUUGUGCGAGGGAACUCGUCAACUCUAUGACUUGUCGAGACAAGUGUUGUUAUCCAUUUGGGUUGGAAUAGAUUGGAAUGAAUGCGUUUUCUUGAGCAGUGGAAGUGUGGGGCGAGAUUUGAGUUGGGAAAUGCCAAAUCCGCAGAAAAAUAUGGUGAAAAUGCUCCUGGUUCGAUCGUCAGUCUGGAAAUUUGGAGCUGGGAUAAUUGAACUAAUCUUGGAUUGAUUUAGGCUACUUAGAAGGCCAUAGGAGCAGACUGGGCUGCAGAAGCAGGUUGGACCACGGAAACAGGCUGUGUCACGAGAGUGAACUGCUUGACAUGAGCAGGCUGGGCCACGAGAGUAGGCUGCUCGGUGAGAGCAGGCUGGGCCGUGAGAGUGGGAGCAGGCUGGGCCGUGAGAGUGGGUUGCUCGGCGGGAGCAGGUUAGGCCACGAGAGUAGGCUACUCGGCGGGAGUAGGCUGCUUGGAAUGUGAUGCACAUGGGUGCAAGGCUUGGGCUCGGCUUGGCAACUCGUUGAGUUCGCGUUGGGCUUGGAAUGACAUGGCUUGGGCAGUGGCCUUGGUGUCGUGAGCCUUGGAUGACAUGGCUCGGGUCGUGGUAGCGAUGCCAUGGACCUCGCCGCGGGUAGUGGUGACCAUGGUGGCCACCGCGGUGGUUGCCAUGGUGGAGCCCCGUAGCAAUGGUGCCGCUCCUAUGAUCACAUUUAGCCUCGUGGAUCACUGUGGUCCCAUUUCUUGAAUAUUGAAAUUUUCACUUGUGGAAUUUUCUAAAUUUCUUGCCAUUGUAUAUCUCUUUUACGUUUUAUCAAAGAAUCUUUGCAAAUAAAAAAUUCUAAUAAUAAGAACGUACGAAAAAUCUACAAAUGGACAAGAAAAUAGAAAAACCUUUUGAUGCGGGAGUCUUCUACGAGUGUGUGACGAUUCUCUAAAUGAAAGCACCAAUUUAUGGAUGCAAAUUUCUUCCUCCUUGAUCUUAGACAAAAUAGCACCUACAAAAUAACUAACACCUUUGGUUAAGGCCAAAAGCCUCACGCGCCCACGAUGGAUGGGGGGCUUUGGCCGAAGAACCUCUGAUGCCAAAGUUCGAGUUUAGAAAGAAAAGUAUUUAGAGAGCUUUUUGGGAGUUUUGCAAGAGUGUUGGAACCAACUUUUUAGAGAAAAUGAAGUCCUAUUUAUAGAGCAUGACCGGCCCUCUUUGGAAGAAAGAGUGGCCGGCCCUAGGGUAUUUUUGGGGGUGUAAUGGAUGAUUUAAUUGGUGAUUAAUGGAUUAAUUAGGAAUUAAUUCAUUAAUUAGCCAAUUAACCUCCACUUAAAUGAAAUGUUAUGUAGGUUAUAAAAUAAUUACUUAAGAUGAGGAUGGAUGAAAAUAUCUUUGAAUUUGUUACCUAUUUUGGACACUUUUGACUUGAUUGACGGAUGAUUGUCCGCUGCUCGCGCGUAGGAAUCCCGGUAUGCCUCAAAGGUAUUUUUGUCCUCUUUUACCCAAAAAUCCACAUGUCGCCUUAUGAUUAUUUUUUGCUCCACAGUUGGUGUUCGUUUUUCCUUUGCUUAUUACAUUGUUGCAGAUUGCUGGUGCAGUUGGCGGUCCAAAUCCACAAUCGACAUUCUCGCAGCAAGGCCGUGAAUUGCACAGCCGAUCAAAAUUUUGCUUCUUUAUUAGGUACAAUGUACUAGUUUUUCAGUACCCUAGUACCUAUCUCUUCCUCUUUUUCUUUUUUCUUUUGUGUGUGUGUGUUCUUGAACGAAAAGGUGUUUAUGUCGGUCCUAAUUUUUGUAUAUCUUGUGCAGUUUGGGGUAUAGAAUACCCUCGGAAGCCGACAGCCUGACUUUAAUUAUGCAUCCUGCCAUGAGAGGCCAUAACAGUACUAUUGGUGCGAAGAGUGGCCGCAGUAGAAUAAGCCAGUCAUCCCCUAGAGCAGUACCGCCCUCGGUUAAUAUUUG
RNAcentral lists this long non-coding RNA (27093 nucleotides) under Malus domestica (apple). RNAcentral's name for it is "long non-coding RNA (MDOM_LNC004090)". Lineage: Eukaryota; Viridiplantae; Streptophyta; Magnoliopsida; Rosales; Rosaceae. The record is from RNAcentral.